CAGUCCCACUGCAUUGCAGUCAUUUGUUCUGAAAUGCACAGGAAUCUUACUGAGGCUGUGUGUCUUUCAGUCCUGGCUGUGCAGGUUUGAUACGCUGCUGUGUCUGUCUGUCUGUCCUGACUGUGCAGGUUUGAUACACUGUCGUGUCUGUCCGUCUGUCCUGGCUCUGCAGGUCUGAUACACUGUUGUGUCUGUCUGUCUGUCCUGACUGUGCAGGUUUUAUUCGCUGCGGUGUCUGUCCGUCUGUCCUGAAUGUGCAGGCCUGAUACACUGUCGUGUCCGUCUGUCUGUCCUGACUGUGCAGGUUUGAUCCACUGCUGUGUCUGUCCGUCUGUCCUGACUGUCCAGGUUUGAUACGCUACUGUGUCUGUCAGUCCUGGCUGUGCAGCAUUUCCUAUGGGGAAAUUGGGCGCUACCUGUGGGGGGGCAGUCCCUAU
Long non-coding RNA from Anguilla rostrata (American eel), 437 nucleotides. RefSeq lists it as uncharacterized. NCBI's taxonomy places the organism in Eukaryota, Metazoa, Chordata, Actinopteri, Anguilliformes, Anguillidae. The record is from RefSeq and is a predicted model, not a curated record. The transcript is spliced from 3 exons.